This 535-nucleotide small RNA is filed under the name Pongo abelii (Sumatran orangutan). RNAcentral describes it as "processed transcript". The record is from RNAcentral. Lineage: Eukaryota; Metazoa; Chordata; Mammalia; Primates; Hominidae.
GUGCUUGAGCUGUUGCUGGGCUCGUCGCAGCCUCCUCGAGGAAGAGGCAUUUUGUCCGGGUCGGGCCACUCGCUAGGUCAGAAACAACGGCCCCCCGAGGGUUUUGUACCGUUUUCUAGGUCUCGUGAUGCAUUCCCCACAACUAUUUUUACUUGAGGUAGGUUUGAACCUGUGAAAUAGGUUCUUUUUCUAUCUCUCCUUGACAGAGAAACGGAGACCUAAGAAGUGACUUGCUCAGGGUCACAUAGCUCAGCAGUGGCGGCCGCUAAUCGGAAAUAGCUCUCCUGUUGUGGUAUCCUCUGCGUUUUCCACUCCAGUAUUUCUUCCCUAGAAAAUGGGAUCCUUGUUUUCAUCUUAUAUCUCAUGCAGCGCCUAACAUAGUCACCUGCACCUGGAAUGGAUAAAAGUGGCAGUUUUUGUUUCUUCCCAUGAGGUUGUGUAUCUGGAAUAAGAACCAGGAAAUUAAUCUAGACUAAGACAUUUCUAAGGACCUGGAAUGGCUUUGGGGAGCACCAGGAGGACCUGAAAAGAGUAU